GUCGUUAGCUCAGUUGGUAGAGCAGUUGGCUUUUAACCAAUUGGUCGUAGGUUCGAAUCCUACACGAC
Molecule: transfer RNA, 68 nt
Filed under: Pseudomonadales bacterium
Lineage: Bacteria; Pseudomonadati; Pseudomonadota; Gammaproteobacteria; Pseudomonadales
Description: tRNA-Lys
Rfam family: tRNA
About the family: Transfer RNA (tRNA) molecules are approximately 80 nucleotides in length.
Source: RNAcentral